UGGUGAUUGUAGCUCAGUCGGUUAGAGCGCCGGAUUGUGGUUCCGGAGGUCGCGGGUUCGAGCCCCGUCUUUCACCCUCCA
This 81-nucleotide transfer RNA is filed under the name Cytophagales bacterium. Its description in RNAcentral is "tRNA-His". It matches the Rfam family "tRNA". From Rfam's summary of the family: Transfer RNA (tRNA) molecules are approximately 80 nucleotides in length. Lineage: Bacteria; Pseudomonadati; Bacteroidota; Cytophagia; Cytophagales. The record is from RNAcentral.